GGGUACAUGGUCUAAUGGCAAAGGCGCCCACUCUUACGAAAGUGAGAGUGACGCUGGACUAGACGGUAACGUCUAGCACAGCGGAAGGAGAUGCGGGUUCGAGUCUCGCUGUAUCCA
Molecule: non-coding RNA, 117 nt
Organism: Alternaria conjuncta
Lineage: Eukaryota; Fungi; Ascomycota; Dothideomycetes; Pleosporales; Pleosporaceae
Source: the annotation of a RefSeq genome assembly